RNAcentral lists this long non-coding RNA (954 nucleotides) under Homo sapiens (human). RNAcentral describes it as "HSALNT0114028". The record is from RNAcentral. Lineage: Eukaryota; Metazoa; Chordata; Mammalia; Primates; Hominidae.
CAGCAGUCUGCAACCCGGAAGAGGAACCUCACCAGAAUUCAUGCUGAUACCUUGAUCUCAGACUUCCAGCCUACAGAACUGUGAGAAAUAAAAUUUGUGGCUUACAGGUCACCCAGUCUAUGGUACUUUGUUAUAGCAGUCUGAACUAAGAUAUAAAUCAAAAAUUAAACUGUUUGUCUGCAUUUUCUUGAAUGGGUUCAUAUUUUUAGUUUUCACCACCAUUCCAGGUAAUAAACAGCAUCACUCCUAGUCUUGAAUAACUGCCUUUGGUUGACAAUGUCCAUUCUAAUUUACUCUUACAGAAUACUGUGGUAUUUCCUCUUAAAUACAAUCUUCCAGGGCAAGGCAUGGUAUUCCAGGUAAGAACAGUUAGUUUGUAACUUUUGUAACUUCAAAUAAGGGGGCAGGGUAACGCUUUCCAUUUUGUUUCUGUUUUUCUUAGAUCUACUUCAUUUGUCAACCAUUUUGUUUCUCUCUCUUUUUUUUUUUUUCCUGAAACAGGGUCUUGCUCUGUUGCCCAGGCUGGAGUGCAGUGGCAACAUCUUGGCUCAAUGUAGCCUUGACCUCCCACUUCAGCCUCCACAGUAGCUGAGACUACAGAUAACACACCAACAAUGGAUCCAUUCUAUGGUUUCACAAAGUCAAUCUUGGAGAAAGAACCGCCAAAAGCUGGCACAAGCAGUAGCACCUUUACAGUGGGCAGGAAAACAACCAGAAGUCUUGGGGCUGCAGAGAUCCAGGCCGGCGAGAAGUCCAGAGCAUCAGACAGGAAGAGUUUCCUGGGGGUAGGAACAGUGACUGGCACAUGCGGGAUAAAAGUUCAUGAAAGAAGCCGAAUCGAUUAAAGGAAAUAAAAAGGCAACAUUUUCCUUUGCAUGACUGAUCAUAAUGGGGCCCCCAACCCUGUACACUUCAAGGAAAGGGUUAACAGGAGAAGCUAAAGGAACAUUUCCU